UGUAAAGAAAGAGCUUGGGCGGAGUAUCACUUAAAGCUGAUUCUUCCAGUAAAACAGUAAAACAAAUCUAUUAAACCUGUGUACCUGCUUGUUCAAUCAUGUUGCAAAGGUCCGUUAAAUUUGUUGCCACAUAGUAAACUGUCACUAUGUAACAGGCACUGCGGAACAUUUACUCUAAAGUAACAUGCAAAGAGACAGCGAGCAAAAACAAACCAACAAGCCAUCUGCAAACCAGGGGGGGAAACUGUGAGGCAAUUACACCAGAGGAAAAGACUGGAGAUGAGAUAUGAGGAACAGGGGAACAGAGAUGACUUGAGUCUUUGCCUGCUUUGACAGGCGGAGAGGAAGACAGUGGGACACAGGAAAGAAAGAAAGAGGGAGAGAAGGAGACAGGGCGUGGAGGAGACAGCAGAGAAAGCGAAGUGGUGCCUGUGUGGCGUGAGAAAGCCCUGUGUUCUCUGUCUGUUGAUAGGCCGGUGGAGCUGAGGAGGGCUCAGGGCCACAGACCAGAGGGAUUUACAGGGCUUUGCUCCUUCCUCUGUGGAAGCAGUGUGUCAACCACUACCACUACAGACCCUCCUGCCCCUGCAUGGUGCCCCCUGCUUUUCCUGUAGGAUCAUCCCUUCUCCCCAUCGCUCCACGUCUCCAUCCCAUCCCACCACCUCAGCAGUCGUCUUGGAGAGGCCGCUGAGGCAUGACAGUCAGACGGGCAUGGACAAAGGAGCAGGCUGGCGAGCGUUCAGAGGGGGCUCGAGGGUGAGAGAUGGACAGAUAACCUUGCUGUGUGGCCCGCGGCCACCUCAGGCAGCUGCACACGGAGAUGAUAACUCAAUCUUCCCAUCAGACCUCCCUACCAGCUCGGGCCCCAGGCCAUGGCAUCCACUGGCACGGCCCAGAGCGUGUGGGCCAAAGGACAUGGUAUGUGUUGGGAGCUACUUUCACCAUACUGUCGUGCCACGCUACUCUUACAUCAGACAAACUCUUUGAAGGAGUUCCCAGUGUGUUAGAACAAAUUGUCCUGUUGAAAGCAAAGACAUGAAAUCUACUGGAAGCUUAACAUGAAAGUGCGUGUCUGAAUGUGAGGGUCCACAUUUGGCUAUUGUUACAUUAAAUGCUUUCAGCCUCUUCAGCCAAGGGUCCCCUGGUUUCAUUAUGAAACUACAUUCCAAGGUAUAUCCCCUCAAAAUUACUUUCAAGCAUCGAAAAGGUAAAACAAAUGAAUUUGUGUACUACUUCUACUAGCCUAUGGAGACGACUUUAAUGACAGCUUGACAGUACGAGCGCAGGGAGUGGCUUAUCAUUAGCAAGUGUUAACUACUUUGAGUUAUCAGCUCAUGUUCUCACCCUGAAUGAAAGUGGAUAGCACAGUGUGGGAAAUGAAAGGCAGUGUAUUUGCAUGAUUAAGAUGCAUUUCACCCCCUGCCUGGAAGUCCUCCUGUGGAUAUUUUCAUGCUAAAUCCGGGGCUAAAAAGUCUAACAGAGAAUUAGGCGCAGACAAUUGUUGCAUAAGGUUUUUUGAUGAUGAAAGGGAUUCCUUCAUGGCAAGCACUUCUCAUGAUGGAGAAAGUGCUUACAUGCUAGGGCUUACUCAAACAUCUGUUCCCAUUCGCUGGCUCAACCACAGUGAAUGCGGUCCACGCAAGAAUCAUAAUUGCAUACAGACCUGGGACGCAGACAGGGAGACAGUGUUUUGUACAGCAACUGUUACAACAGAGCUGUGAAAAUGAAGUUGUGACAUAGCACUUUUAAUUCUAGCAUUGUGGGAAAAAAAUGUCACAAGAAUGGUUAGAAAAUUAAAGGGAUAGUUUGGAUUUUUUGAAGUGGGGUUGUAUGAGGUACUUCUCCAUAGUCAGAGUAUUACCUACAGUAGAUGGCGGUCGGCACGCCCCAGUUUGGAGAAUAAGAAAGGAGUGCCGGCACGAGAGCAAAGCAAUGAACUGCUUUGGACAGGGCCAGCAG
Sebastes umbrosus (honeycomb rockfish) is the source of this 1959-nucleotide long non-coding RNA. RefSeq lists it as uncharacterized. NCBI's taxonomy places the organism in Eukaryota, Metazoa, Chordata, Actinopteri, Perciformes, Sebastidae. The record is from RefSeq and is a predicted model, not a curated record. The transcript is spliced from 2 exons.